AGCGCAGGUGGUUUAUUAAGUCUGGUGUAAAAGGCAGUGGCUCAACCAUUGUAUGCAUUGGAAACUGGUAGACUUGAGUGCAGGAGAGGAGAGUGGAAUUCCAUGUGUAGCGGUGAAAUGCGUAGAUAUAUGGAGGAACACCAAUGGCGAAGGCAAUCCCCUGGACCUGUACUGACGCUCAUGCACGAAAGGCUGGGAGCAAACA
RNAcentral lists this ribosomal RNA (205 nucleotides) under uncultured bacterium. Its description in RNAcentral is "partial 16S ribosomal RNA". It matches the Rfam family "Bacterial small subunit ribosomal RNA", at positions 568 to 774 of the family's 1533-position model. The record is from RNAcentral.